UACGUAGGGGGCUAGCGUUGUCCGGAAUCAUUGGGCGUAAAGAGCGUGUAGGCGGCUCGGUAAGUCCGCUGUGAAAGUCCAGGGCUCAACCCUGGAAUGCCAGUGGAAACUGUCGAGCUAGAGUCCGGAAGAGGCGAGUGGAAUUCCUGGUGUAGCGGUGAAAUGCGCAGAUAUCAGGAGGAACACCAAUGGCGAAGGCAGCUCGCUGGGACGGUACUGGCGCUGAGACGCGAAAGCGUGGGGAGCAAACAGG
Molecule: ribosomal RNA, 253 nt
Filed under: uncultured bacterium
Lineage: Bacteria
Description: partial 16S ribosomal RNA
Rfam family: Bacterial small subunit ribosomal RNA
Source: RNAcentral